Molecule: ribosomal RNA, 529 nt
Filed under: uncultured fungus
Lineage: Eukaryota; Fungi
Description: eukaryotic LSU rRNA
Rfam family: 5.8S ribosomal RNA (bases 186-339)
Source: RNAcentral
AAGUCGUAACAAGGUUUCCGUAGGUGAACCUGCGGAAGGAUCAUUAUCAAAACAGCGGACUUCGGUCCUUGCUGCACCCUUGUCUUUUGCGUACCGUAUGUUUCCUCGGCGGGCUUGCCUGUCGGUUGGACAAUAUCAAACCUUUUUGUAGUUGCAAUCAGCGUCAGAAAAUAAACAAUAAUUACAACUUUCAACAACGGAUCUCUUGGUUCUGGCAUCGAUGAGGAACGCAGCGAAAUGCGAAAAGUAGUGUGAAUUGCAGAAUUCAGUGAAUCAUCGAAUCUUUGAACGCACAUUGCGCCCCUUGGUAUUCCAUGGGGCAUGCCUGUUCGAGCGUCAUUUUGUACCCUCAAGCACUGCUUGGUGUUGGGCGUUUGUCCUGCAAAGGACUCGCCUGAAAGCGAUUGGCGGCCAACGUACUGGUGGUAGAGCGCAGCACAAUUUGCGUCUCUCCCUUCUACGUUUGCGUCCAUGAAGCCUUUUUCAAACGUUUGACCUCGGAUCAGGUAGGGAUACCCGCUGAACUUAA